GUCGGCUCGUUAGUCAGUCGUCGUCCACCCGCAAGGCAACAUUUAAUUUUAAUUUUAAGUCACAACUCUCGUCUCGCACUCGCACUUAGAAUUAUACGGCCGAUAUACGGUCAUUCGAACAGUUAAGUCAUACUUAUUUUUAAUUGAACGUAAUUUAUCGCGAACGCAGUGUGGCGUAAUCGAACUUUAACUUUUUUGAUUUUCCCGUUUUGAGAAAGAGUUGCGAAGCCUUAGAACGCGCGUGUGAUCGAAUCGAAUCGAACGGAUUACCGCGAACUAGUGAGAAGAAGGUAAAACAGCUGAUUCACCUGGAAUCGAAUCAUCACGAGAAGCAAGGAAAAAGAAUUCGCACAACUUUUAGUUUUUAUAGUUCACGAAAAGAUACCGAACCCCACUUUGGAUAUGAUUUAAGUUCUUUAAGUUACUUCGAAAUUCAACGAUCCAGUUCCAAACGAGCUCCGAUUAUUCAAGUUAAUUUAAUUUUAAAAAGAAAUAAAACAGUGACUAAAACCAAUUAAAACCAGAAACUUUGAAAAGUGCGAGUGAAAAAUCAAAUCAAAUAAGCCGCUAAAAAGUGUGACGAUAAAAUACCACUCAUUAUCCGAGCAAAUCACAAUCACAACAGUGCAAAGAAAAGCUGAAAAAGGCGACAGAAAUAGAGCGCUGUGGCCGCAACAAAAGUGUUGAAGUGUGUAUCAAACGAGCCAUCCACGCUAAUUCGAGUCAACUAAUCAUCAUCAUCGCGCUCGCCGGUGGGGUACAUACCUACUCCUAACUCGCACGACAUACCGACCUACCCACUGAAGUUAGGUGCUGCUGAAACCAUAGCCGGUCAAUUUACGAACUGAUAGCGGAUUAUUUGCGCUUCGCCAUCCGCUCUCGGAAGAAGCAACACCGCGACAAGUGCGAUUACCACCCGAUAUCGAGGCUUGGAUGAUACAUAAUUAGAUAAGAAGCCGAUUGCACUCUCGAACGGCACCAGAAGCUGAGCAUUACGGUGCACAUUCCGCGUUUCAGUUGUAAUCCGCGAUUGGCGCCAAGCCGAUCAUGUGAUUGUGAUUACUGUCAUAUUUCUGUGAAGAAGAAGUAAAACUCGCUGAAAUCAAUUGAUACUGGAGAGUGCCGAGGAAAAUUGGACCUACUCAACAUUGGAGACACCGUUAACCUAGAGAGUGAAAAUUAAAAUUAAAUGUUCAGAACCUGACCAUGAAGCAAGCAGCAACGCGAAAAGAAAUGGCAGACUGUGAAGGUCUUCAUCAGCAACAACCGAAAGCAGACAACGGAAGUCCCAGCGGUUCAUCUGGUUUAUUGAAAGCGAAAGUGGAACAGAACAGAAACUCAAGUCACACGAGUGACAGUGAAAAGGUAACCUUAUACCUGAGUGGCCAAAAGGCAAGUGAAUAUCAGAGCAAAAUGUCCGAAAAAGUGCGGAAGGACUCUACGGAGUCCAGGGAAGUGGUGGCGAUCCGAAGAAGUGCCAAUGUGAUCAAAUGUGAUAGUGAUAAGGAAAUCAAUUCGCUCAAACGGAAGAAAGUGCCCUCAGUAAGUCACCCAGAAAACGUGAGUGUCGAGGAACAGGAACCAACGUACGCUUCGGUAGUGAAGCAAACAGACAAAGAAAACGUCCAACCGACGACGGCGACUCCUUCGACGUCGGCGUUGGGCGUCAACACGGGAAGUUCAAGCAACAAGCGAAUGAAAAUGGAUCCACUAAAUAGCGGUGAUGGCAAAAUAGUUGCCAGCAAACCGCCCAUUCCGCCGAAACCAGAUGGCACCAGGCCGUCAACGCAUCAUCAUCACAGCAGUAGUGAGAAAGGUACAGGAAAGUCCAAGAAACAGGUCGUCAGCGAUGCACACAAUGCGUUGACGGUCCAGAAGCUGCUUGCUCAGAACGAACAGAUGAGACUGGAGAUCAACGACCUGCGGUCGAACCUGACCACGGAACGAAAUGCUGUGCGGGUUCUAAGGGCCCAAAAUGAAUCGGACCUGCGACGCACCAAAACGGAGAACAAAAAGCUCCAGGAAGCGCUAUCGCACCAGAAACGGCACAGCAGCAGCAGUGGUCCAACGGGUCCCGUAUCAUCGACCAGCUCGGCACCAUCACCGCCGAAGCGACCCAAUCGAGCCGGAACUGGUGUUAGUUCCAGUGCCACCAGUUCGGACGAAAACGUGGGCCAGGCGAACCCGACGACGUCGAUCCACCAGCUCAAUCUGGACAUUCUCAAGCUCAACCAGGAGCUUUCCGCCAUACGAGAGACGAACAAAUUUUUGGAGGAGAAAAUUCAAAUUUCCUCGGAGGCUGAGCGGCGGAAAGCUUCUGACAUUCGAGUGCAAAGGGACCUGCACGAACUACGAUUGACUCAACUCACCAAGUCUGCCAAAAGCGAAAUCCAACGACUGCUGGAGGAGCUGAAAUCCAAAGACCGAAAUAUCGGUCUUCUUCGGAAGGAGAUUUCAGCUCUACAAGGAACUGCGGGAGGAGGAGGAGGAGCACCGAAGAAGGAGCGAAAGGCUGCUAAAAAUUCCGCUCAGCAAUCGCAAGAGAUGCGAAAACUGCGUGAGUCCGAAUCGUCAUGUAGCGGAACAAUCAGCAAGAGCACCAGCCACAGUAGCAUCCAGUCUGUCUGCGACGAGCCGGAACAGAACGCUGAUGCUGACGCUGAUCCGGUAGCAGCCCCGGCCAAGCAGCAGUCAACGACCCUCAACUCUAAUCACAAUCAAUUACCAAUCGCUCCUUCUUCGGAAACGACGACGCACUGCAACAUUGGCGGUGACAGCAGCAGCAGUAUAGACUGUCGUCACCCUACUAGUUAUAAUCCAGCAACGAAACUUGUUAAUACAUACACUAGCCCCUUAGGAUUAGAAACGACGACGUGUGGCGAUGAUGACGGUGCAUCUGAGCCACACGAAUCACGAACAAUGGAAGCUCACAACCACGAUUUGCAUGCUUCUGCUAGAUUAGUAAGCCACCUGAACGACGGAGACGUCCUCAGUCACGCCAGCCCCCCUAGUAGUAAUAGCACCCACAGCAGCGAACCAAGUGUCGUAGUCCAAACCAUGACCACAAACCCCCACACAACACCCCCCAUGAUGACAGCCGGUAGACAGUUGUCCUCCGUAUCGGAUGCCGAUUCUGCCAUAUCAUCGGCGCCGCCAUCGCUUAGCCCGCAGCCCACCGGCUGUCCCAACUCGCCGGAAGUGUGGCGAGCACACAUCCACCUUCAAUCGGCGGCCGACGACCAAAACCAUCUGCAAUCGCUGCGGGACCAAAGUCAACUGAAGGAGAUCAAACUGGAGCUGGAUCGGAUGCAGGCCAAGUACGAUCUGCUCAGCGCGGACUACAGCAAGGCCAAGCAGCAGAUCGACGAUCUCGAGCGGGAGUUGAUGGAGGCGGCGCAAGCUCAGCAGGAGAGAGCCAAGUUCGCCGAACGGAUUGACUAUCUGGUACAGCGAGAGGAAAAUCUGCUUCGAGAGAGUCACGAACUGCGCGAGCAGAAUGAACUGCUCGAAUUCCGGAUCAUCGAGCUGGAGGAGAGCCACGAUAAGUGGUCACUCCGCAGCAAUUCGAGUCCAACGGUCGGCAGCAGCAGCAUCAACGGCAGCACCACAAAGGACGUAUGGACCGACACGGACAAAGAGCACGACGAUUUGAUCAUGCACCACUCGGAACGGUCGGACUCGGGCGUCACGUCGCCCAACAGCCACCAUCACCUGGACGAUCAGCAGACCAGCGGGGUCCCGUCGCCCUGCUGUGACCUCUCGCUGCUGGACCAAAUCCCGACGGAUGACGUGCGGAAGCGCAUCGCCACCAUGACCAAGCGGUCCUGCUACGACGAGGAGGACAAGCUGUGCCUGCUGCAGAUCCUGUCGUUGCUGAACAACUUGGAAGCGCUGUCGCAGGACCACGAGAUCGCCAGCGAGGAUAUGAGCCUGGAGCUGCCGGCGAAGUUCAGCAAUUACACCUUCCCGGAGAGUCACCCGCCGAAGUCCCUGACGGCGACUUCGACGCCAUUCAAGAGUCAACAGGGGAAAAUGGUAGCAACGGUGCAGCCGUUCAGUAGCAACAACGCCUCCCUAACAACCAGCACCACCAGUGAGCCGAAGAGUAUCUCGAUCGCAUCGAUCGCGGAGACUUUCGGAGGAAUGAAGAAGUCCGCCAAGUGGGGAUCAACCAGCUUGCAGGAAAGUGGAGUGUUUGUGGACGAAAUGAUGGUCAGCUGCGUCGGAACGCAAACCGAGGUGGAGGACUUCCCCUGUCUGGAAAAGACCAACGCGGAGCUGUGUGCGGAGAUCGAGAAGCUGAACCGAUUCCGGCAGAAGAUUGAGGAGUGUACGAUCAAGCGCAACGGGAAGAAUCCGGUAGGAGUGAGCUUGUCGCUUCCGGCGGAAUCCUGCGAACAAAGAAGACUGCAGUACUAUGUGAACCGAAUGGAGCAGCUGGAGAACAAAGUCAAGGUGUACGAGAGCAGCGGCGAUCAGCAGUUGAGGCACCUGGCGGAAAGGUUGCAGCGAGAGAUCCAACUGGAAGGUUGGGUGGAUCAGCUGAGCGAGAAGCUUAACAAGCUGGAAGACGAAAACGAAAGACUGGAAGAGGAGAGAUGUGAACUGGAAGAGAUUGAAAAUGACACAAGGUUGCGGUUGCAACGGAUGGAAGUGGACUACGAGAUGAUGAGUCAAAGAAAUACGGAGCUGGAGAUGUCCAAGAGCUCGUAUCAGUCCAAGUACCAGGACGCCAGAGACACCGUGAUAAAUCUGGAAGAGCUUGUGCACAAAUGUGAGGAGAGGAUAUUCGUUCUUGAGGAAACAGAAAACGAACUUAACGAUCGCAUCGAUCUGAUACUAGCGUUCAUUCCGGUACUGUUGAUGUUCAACAGCUGGCAGCUGCAAGAGCAGAUGGCCUCCACCCGGAAGCAAUACGCCAUCAAUGCCAUCCCACCGGAGCACAUCGAGUACUACGAAUCCGCAAACGGAGAUUUACAAAUGAGACUGAACGAUCUGAUGAACCGUGAGAAGGAACUCACGCAAAACAUAGCCGAGUUGAAUCGAGCUUACAAUGAAACCCUGGAGAACGCAGACAAUCUCUGGGCUCAGAUGGAGAAAGAGUACAAAGACAAGAUCUCCAAAUGCGAGACGGUAGAAUCGAACCUCAAAUCGAAGAUCGCUCAGCUGGAAGAGCGGCUGAGUAAGGACAGUGACUACGCUCACGAAAGGAUAUCUCACUUGGAAGAGGCCGAGAACAGUCUCAAGAACCGAGUAUCCAAACUUAACAAAGAGAAUAAAGAUCUGGUAGCCAAGCAUGCGGCGCUCCUGGAAGAAUACUCCACUUUGAAGGACGAAUACCGGAAGCUUCAGAACUACCUCAAAGGAACCGUCGCGGAGAACAUGGAAAGGGAGAAGCGAAAGAUCGUGGCCCUAGAGGAAGAACUCACCUUAUCGACAGCGCUCCUCAAGGAAGCCGAAGAGAAUCACAAAUCGGAAGUUGGCCACAUGCGUGGUAAGCUGGUAAGUGCUACCAAGGAGCUGAACCACAUCGAAGUCACAAACAGCGAACUGAGGGAAGAGGUCGAAACGCUAGAAUGCCGCAUCCGGGAGUUGCUGACGCUGAGAAACUGCGAUGAGGAGCGAAUCAAACACCUCACCGAAGAACUGCAAUCGAAGCAGGCGCAGAUCAGCCAACUUCAGGUACAUCCGUCCCAUAUCCAUCACCACAGAGGAGGCUUUGGACGAAGCCUGGCACAGGAGCUGGAACGACCUGUGAAGGGUUCCUAUUCGAAGCUGGGCUAUGAAAUCCACCCGCUGAGCCGUAGAUUCCCGGGAGAUAGCGACAGCAGUGGAAGUGAGGACAAGGUCAAAUUCCCCAUCGCGAAGACAGCUCCGGAAGCCAAAGAGGUCAAAAGUCUGGCCGAGACCAUUAUCCUGAAUGCCGAAAGUCGAGGCAUUCGUGCGCCAAAGAAAUCGUUUGUCGAGGAGGCCCGUAGCCGUUUUGCCCGUUGGGUUUGAAGUGUGAAUCUCUUUUCAUUGUACAUUGACAUUUAGAGCCUAUAGGUACAGCAAGCAGGUCGACAGUUGAGAAGACGCUACUGAAUGCGCGCUUUCGUCGUUUGGAUGUGUGAAAAAGCCCCAUUUAACAACUCCAUAUCUAAGCAGCCCUUGACCAGAGUCAAUUCACUAGGAAGUGACAAUCAGUUUGUCGGUCUGGGCUACGUUGAUACCAUGAUCAUCUAAAGUGCCUUACAGUUAAGUCAUUUAGAAGUUUGGACACACUCCAGCGAAAGCAGCAUUCGACAUGGAAAAGUAGCAGGCCAGCAAAUUGCAAAAACCAGAAAAACCCGAAAAAUUCAUCACUCCGACGCAGUCGCAGCAGGCGUCGCCGCCGCCCUUGAAGAAGAAAAUGAUUCUAGUCGUUCACUUUGUUAAAUAUUAAUUUUGUACAUCAUACAAUCCCCUGUAGGAUAAGAGAAGGACAACUUUGUCAGCACCCGUCAUGGCAACAAACACCUAUUUAAGCAUACCGCCCGCACCAAUCCACGACCAUUACAUUAGAAACACAAACAAGCAAAAAAAAAGAAGAAAACUCGAAACUGAACGAAACGAAUCGUGUGGCGCAACUGCGCUAGCGCCACACCGAUGACGAAUGGUUUAAUUUCUUUUUGGAAAUUACACUACCCCCGACGACCCCCCAUGACACAACAAGCUUUCAAGAUUGAGUUUGUUCGAUCCCCAAAACUGCCCAGUCAGAAAUUCGUAGACACACUUGGUUUGCAUCAUUAUUUCCCAGUUACACAAAUAAUUAUGUUAAGCUUGCACUUUACUUCGUACUUUUUUUAUUUUUGUUCUUCGUUGUUUAGUUUAUGGUGUCCCGCCACCCCUUCUCUACUGUACAUAGCCGGAAGCCACACGUAAGUUUAGGUUUUAUUUUGUAGUACAAUUUACUUUGUAGUGACUGCUUUGAUUUCCUCUGAGGAAAGUUUUGAUUUUAUUUGGUUUUGUCUUAAUUUUCGUUUCCUUUUCUUCAAUUUUACGGAAGUUUUCACCGAAUGACCUCUCUAAAAACGGAAAUUGUUAUUUAUUUUUUUCGUUGAAAUUUACAAAUCUCUAUUUUGAGUCUAAAACGAAAGCAAUGCAUCUGUUCAGCUGCAUGUGCAUGUUCAAAAUGCAUGAUAGAACCAUUAGAAUUGUGGAAACUAGUAGACAGCCACGUGUCAGUGGAUAGACUAAUUGGUGAGCUUCCACAUUGUUUGAAAAUAUACUCAAAACAACAGAUAAACAGCAAAAAAAAACAUGUUAGAAACAAAUCCCAAUGUAACGGACACAUCAACAAGCAAUUGUAGAAACAGAAUGUAAUAAUAUAUUGAAACUUUAUUAGAAA
Molecule: RNA transcript, 7369 nt
Organism: Aedes albopictus (Asian tiger mosquito)
Lineage: Eukaryota; Metazoa; Arthropoda; Insecta; Diptera; Culicidae
Gene name: putative leucine-rich repeat-containing protein DDB_G0290503
Exons: 13
Source: RefSeq, a predicted model, not a curated record